This is a long non-coding RNA of Helianthus annuus (common sunflower), 2265 nucleotides long. RefSeq lists it as uncharacterized. The record is from RefSeq and is a predicted model, not a curated record. The transcript is spliced from 5 exons. NCBI's taxonomy places the organism in Eukaryota, Viridiplantae, Streptophyta, Magnoliopsida, Asterales, Asteraceae.
CUCCUAAAAUGAGGAAGUUUUGAACGGUUUUCUGAUUUAAUCUCUCCCACGUCGUCUCCUCCCCACGUUCCUGUAACUUCCAUGUACACUUCCUUUUAAAGCAGACCCGAUUCACCGGUUUAACCUACGGUUCUAGACUACCGUCCUCCCCACCGUCGUCUCUCUCUCCCAAUUGAUUGACCCGUUUAACAUAGGGUUCGAGACUACCGUCCAACACACGUUCAUACAUUCCAAUUCACCAAAAUUUUCCAAUCAAUCGGACAAAUUUCAUUCAAACGAUGCCUCCGAAAACCGCGAAAAAGUUCGUCGGUCCAGGAAGAAGAGGCGGCAGAAACAGAGGAGCGGCGGCAAAGGUAGCGGCGGCGCAACCUGAUCCGCCGGUAGCACCAAGCCGUCGAUUCACCGUUCUAUGGUUUAAAACAGAGAAAUUAGGGAUCAAGAUGGAGCCAACAAAAAUAGUAGAUGGAAGUUCGUUAAGCAUGGUUAAUGUUGGAUUGGGGAUGAAACAUUUCGAUCUUAAUUAAGUGGGAGAAGCAGAGUUGCUACUGUUCAUAACCAGUUUGAGCAGGCAAGUUGUUUGUAAGUUUGUAAUAAAGAGGUACUAAAUUGAAAAUUUUAAAUGUGAUCUUAUAUGAUAUAUCAUUACUCUAGAGAUCAAUGAACUGUAAGUCUAUAACCCUUGCAUUUCUUCUAUGAUAUAUCAUUAUUCUAGAGAUCACAGGUCAGUUCAAUCAAUUGUUCACACACCAGAUGGUGGUGGUUUUGUGAUUGGAAAUACAGAUCAUGGUGUUAACUUUUGGAUGUAUCCAACAAUAGAGGUUUGAGGAUUCUGGUCAGGCGUGUAUAUAAUUUGAAACCACAAAAUUUAGCGGUUUUUUUAACUUUAGAGUUAUAUUAUUUGAUCAUUUUAGCACAUGGCUUUAUGUUUUUGAUUCUUAGGAUUUGGUGCAUUUAACAGUGUCAAAUUUGAGAACUUUACCAAUGAAUGAUGAUGUUGUAGUGGUGGCAAUAAGUCCUGAUGGAAGGAUAACUGUGGCUGCUCUAAUGGAUUGCACUGUCAAGGUCUACUACAUGGACACUUUAAAAGUUUUUCUUGCACGUACCAAUUGAUGAUGUUUCAGUUGUUGACUUGAGUGUAAGGCUUGAAAAGAAGGCUACCUAUGAACAAAUUAAAGCUGCAAUCAAGGAGGAAUCAGAAGGAAAGCUUAGGGGAUUUUGGGAUAUACUGAAGAUGAUCUUGUAUUCACAUACUUUGUGAGUGACACCAGGUAAGUUUGUGAACAUAUUUAAUCUCUCAAAAGUCUUUUCAAAUUGGACCCAAAUCAUGUGUCGUGAAUGGGGAUGCAGGUACGUGUAUGAUUAUAUGAUAUAUCGACCCUGAUAUCUUUCCACAUCUAUAAAAUUCAUGCUCUCAUUGAUAUUAGUUUUUUUCUUUACAGCUUUCGCGUUAUUGAUUUAAUUUGCCACAUUGCAUCGGUGCAAGCCUAAAUCUUAUAUGGCCGGUUUCAUUUGCUUCUUUUGUUUUUCUGCUCAUGUUUUGAGAACUCCAUUGCGAAGUCGAUGACGGGUUUCAGUGGUUAAGAACAGUUGGUUAAGGGGAUGGGACGUAAUAAGGGAUUUCUAUCUACAAGGAUGCACUUGCAAAAACCAUUCUGGGACUGCCCUUUUCGACGGUUCCCAUUGCAGGUGAAUAUGCUUGGAGGGUACUAAUCUACUAUGAUGCAGGUGCCAAUGUGAAGUUUAACUUCUCAGUGGCGUACACAACAACUAUGUUGGCAUGGAGUGUAUUGGAGAACUUGAAGUCGUUGGGCCCGCUACCAGAGAAUGUACGAGUGGCGAUCAGGUGGGAGACUGACUACGUCAUCAAGCGCGCUAUAGGAACCCCAUGUGCUUUAUGUGGGUGUUAGGAGAGACCCGAGGACGUGCACAUCAUUUGAACCGUCUACUCUGCCUCCAGAAGAAAACCAAGGUCUAAUUUAGUUGGCGAAAUAGGAGAAAUAGGAGCCGUAUUAGCGGCUUCUUCCUUGGUGUUUCGGAAAGUGGAUUCUAAUACUCUAAAUUGUUGUUAAGAACAACGAAGUCUGUUUCCCAAUUUGCUACACAGUACAAGGGUGCUUAUAGUGUAAGUUUUUUUUUAAUUUAUUGUUCUUAUUUAGGAUAUAAGGUAAUAUUUUAUGUAUAAUUAACUGGUUUUGUGGACCUUUUACUGGUAGGUAUAUUAUUCUUAUGAUAUAUAUUCUAAAUAGGAAUUUAAUUUUGAAGUUA